Molecule: ribosomal RNA, 301 nt
Filed under: uncultured bacterium
Lineage: Bacteria
Description: partial 16S ribosomal RNA
Rfam family: Bacterial small subunit ribosomal RNA
Source: RNAcentral
CAGUAGCCGCGGGAAUACAGAGGGUGCGAGCGUUAAUCGGAUUUACUGGGCGUAAAGCGUGCGUAGGCGGCUUUUUAAGUCGGAUGUGAAAUCCCUGAGCUUAACUUAGGAAUUGCAUUCGAUACUGGGAAGCUAGAGUAUGGGAGAGGAUGGUAGAAUUUCAGGUGUAGCGGUGAAAUGCGUAGAGAUCUGGAGGAAUACCGAUGGCGAAGGCAGCCAUCUGGCCUAAUACUGACGCUGAGGUACGAAAGCAUGGGGAGCAAACAGGAUUAGAUACCCCGGUAGUCCCUGUCUCUUAUAC